Molecule: long non-coding RNA, 523 nt
Organism: Carassius auratus (goldfish)
Lineage: Eukaryota; Metazoa; Chordata; Actinopteri; Cypriniformes; Cyprinidae
Exons: 3
Source: RefSeq, a predicted model, not a curated record
GCUGCGAAUCCCCCCCCCCCCCCACCAAAAAAAAAAAAAAGACGACGUCAACUUCCCAAGGCUUUUCAGCGUCAAGAAAGAGGAGUUUGAAGGGAAAGUUCAAGUCUGGGUGGCCAAAAGUUACAUUUCAGUGAUCUGGUUACCGCCUCUCUCUGCAAACCCAAAGGAUCACUUUCCUCAGCGGAUCUACCCCAAUCAUCAUUAAUGGGACCACAGUGGAGAGAGUGAGCAUCUUCAAAUACCUUCAAAUGCCCUACAAAGAGUAGCUGAGCACAUGUCCAGAACAUCUCUCCCCUCUCUGCAAGACAUCCAUACCAGGAGAUGUAAAUCUAGGGCUGUUAAGAUCCUUAAAUACCCCACCAACCCAUCUGCUACAGUCAGGCAGACCCUUCUGCAGUCUGAUGGCAAAGACGGAGAGGCUCAGGAGGAGUUUCUUCCCUCAUGUUAUCAGACUACUAAACAUGGACAUUAAACACACUUCACUUUAUAGACUGGUUGUUUAGGGCUACAAUAACUCUCUGCA